RNAcentral lists this ribosomal RNA (2790 nucleotides) under Escherichia coli EPEC 32/73. RNAcentral's name for it is "bacterial LSU rRNA". It matches the Rfam family "Bacterial large subunit ribosomal RNA". The record is from RNAcentral. Lineage: Bacteria; Pseudomonadati; Pseudomonadota; Gammaproteobacteria; Enterobacterales; Enterobacteriaceae.
AGCGUACACGGUGGAUGCCCUGGCAGUCAGAGGCGAUGAAGGACGUGCUAAUCUGCGAUAAGCGUCGGUAAGGUGAUAUGAACCGUUAUAACCGGCGAUUUCCGAAUGGGGAAACCCAGUGUGAUUCGUCACACUAUCAUUAACUGAAUCCAUAGGUUAAUGAGGCGAACCGGGGGAACUGAAACAUCUAAGUACCCCGAGGAAAAGAAAUCAACCGAGAUUCCCCCAGUAGCGGCGAGCGAACGGGGAGCAGCCCAGAGCCUGAAUCAGUGUGUGUGUUAGUGGAAGCGUCUGGAAAGGCGCGCGAUACAGGGUGACAGCCCCGUACACAAAAAUGCACAUGCUGUGAGCUCGAUGAGUAGGGCGGGACACGUGGUAUCCUGUCUGAAUAUGGGGGGACCAUCCUCCAAGGCUAAAUACUCCUGACUGACCGAUAGUGAACCAGUACCGUGAGGGAAAGGCGAAAAGAACCCCGGCGAGGGGAGUGAAAAAGAACCUGAAACCGUGUACGUACAAGCAGUGGGAGCACAGAGCAAUCUGUGUGACUGCGUACCUUUUGUAUAAUGGGUCAGCGACUUAUAUUCUGUAGCAAGGUUAACCGAAUAGGGGAGCCGAAGGGAAACCGAGUCUUAACUGGGCGUUAAGUUGCAGGGUAUAGACCCGAAACCCGGUGAUCUAGCCAUGGGCAGGUUGAAGGUUGGGUAACACUAACUGGAGGACCGAACCGACUAAUGUUGAAAAAUUAGCGGAUGACUUGUGGCUGGGGGUGAAAGGCCAAUCAAACCGGGAGAUAGCUGGUUCUCCCCGAAAGCUAUUUAGGUAGCGCCUCGUGAAUUCAUCUCCGGGGGUAGAGCACUGUUUCGGCAAGGGGGUCAUCCCGACUUACCAACCCGAUGCAAACUGCGAAUACCGGAGAAUGUUAUCACGGGAGACACACGGCGGGUGCUAACGUCCGUCGUGAAGAGGGAAACAACCCAGACCGCCAGCUAAGGUCCCAAAGUCAUGGUUAAGUGGGAAACGAUGUGGGAAGGCCCAGACAGCCAGGAUGUUGGCUUAGAAGCAGCCAUCAUUUAAAGAAAGCGUAAUAGCUCACUGGUCGAGUCGGCCUGCGCGGAAGAUGUAACGGGGCUAAACCAUGCACCGAAGCUGCGGCAGCGACGCUGAUGCGUUGUUGGGUAGGGGAGCGUUCUGUAAGCCUGCGAAGGUGUGCUGUGAGGCAUGCUGGAGGUAUCAGAAGUGCGAAUGCUGACAUAAGUAACGAUAAAGCGGGUGAAAAGCCCGCUCGCCGGAAGACCAAGGGUUCCUGUCCAACGUUAAUCGGGGCAGGGUGAGUCGACCCCUAAGGCGAGGCCGAAAGGCGUAGUCGAUGGGAAACAGGUUAAUAUUCCUGUACUUGGUGUUACUGCGAAGGGGGGACGGAGAAGGCUAUGUUGGCCGGGCGACGGUUGUCCCGGUUUAAGCGUGUAGGCUGGUUUUCCAGGCAAAUCCGGAAAAUCAAGGCUGAGGCGUGAUGACGAGGCACUACGGUGCUGAAGCAACAAAUGCCCUGCUUCCAGGAAAAGCCUCUAAGCAUCAGGUAACAUCAAAUCGUACCCCAAACCGACACAGGUGGUCAGGUAGAGAAUACCAAGGCGCUUGAGAGAACUCGGGUGAAGGAACUAGGCAAAAUGGUGCCGUAACUUCGGGAGAAGGCACGCUGAUAUGUAGGUGAAGUCCCUCGCGGAUGGAGCUGAAAUCAGUCGAAGAUACCAGCUGGCUGCAACUGUUUAUUAAAAACACAGCACUGUGCAAACACGAAAGUGGACGUAUACGGUGUGACGCCUGCCCGGUGCCGGAAGGUUAAUUGAUGGGGUCAGCGCAAGCGAAGCUCUUGAUCGAAGCCCCGGUAAACGGCGGCCGUAACUAUAACGGUCCUAAGGUAGCGAAAUUCCUUGUCGGGUAAGUUCCGACCUGCACGAAUGGCGUAAUGAUGGCCAGGCUGUCUCCACCCGAGACUCAGUGAAAUUGAACUCGCUGUGAAGAUGCAGUGUACCCGCGGCAAGACGGAAAGACCCCGUGAACCUUUACUAUAGCUUGACACUGAACAUUGAGCCUUGAUGUGUAGGAUAGGUGGGAGGCUUUGAAGUGUGGACGCCAGUCUGCAUGGAGCCGGCCUUGAAAUACCACCCUUUAAUGUUUGAUGUUCUAACGUUGACCCGUGAUCCGGGUUGCGGACAGUGUCUGGUGGGUAGUUUGACUGGGGCGGUCUCCUCCUAAAGAGUAACGGAGGAGCACGAAGGUUGGCUAAUCCUGGUCGGACAUCAGGAGGUUAGUGCAAUGGCAUAAGCCAGCUUGACUGCGAGCGUGACGGCGCGAGCAGGUGCGAAAGCAGGUCAUAGUGAUCCGGUGGUUCUGAAUGGAAGGGCCAUCGCUCAACGGAUAAAAGGUACUCCGGGGAUAACAGGCUGAUACCGCCCAAGAGUUCAUAUCGACGGCGGUGUUUGGCACCUCGAUGUCGGCUCAUCACAUCCUGGGGCUGAAGUAGGUCCCAAGGGUAUGGCUGUUCGCCAUUUAAAGUGGUACGCGAGCUGGGUUUAGAACGUCGUGAGACAGUUCGGUCCCUAUCUGCCGUGGGCGCUGGAGAACUGAGGGGGGCUGCUCCUAGUACGAGAGGACCGGAGUGGACGCAUCACUGGUGUUCGGGUUGGUCAUGCCAAUGGCACUGCCCGGUAGCUAAAUGCGGAAGAGAUAAGUGCUGAAAGCAUCUAAGCACGAAACUUGCCCCGAGAUGAGUUCUCCCUGACUCCUUGA